GGCAGGUUGCCCGAGCGGCCAAUGGGAGCGGACUGUAAAUCCGUCGCUUACGCCUACGCAGGUUCGAAUCCUGCACCUGCCACCA
Molecule: transfer RNA, 85 nt
Filed under: Mycobacterium talmoniae
Lineage: Bacteria; Bacillati; Actinomycetota; Actinomycetes; Mycobacteriales; Mycobacteriaceae
Description: tRNA-Tyr
Rfam family: tRNA
About the family: Transfer RNA (tRNA) molecules are approximately 80 nucleotides in length. Their secondary structure includes four short double-helical elements and three loops (D, anti-codon, and T loops).
Source: RNAcentral